RNAcentral lists this ribosomal RNA (460 nucleotides) under uncultured bacterium. RNAcentral describes it as "partial 16S ribosomal RNA". It matches the Rfam family "Bacterial small subunit ribosomal RNA", at positions 338 to 795 of the family's 1533-position model. The record is from RNAcentral.
CCUACGGGUGACAGCAGUGAGGAAUAUUGGUCAAUGGACGAGAGUCUGAACCAGCCAAGUAGCGUGAAGGAUGACUGCCCUAUGGGUUGUAAACUUCUUUUAUAUGGGAAUAAAAUGUUCCACGUGUGGGAUUUUGUAUGUACCAUAUGAAUAAGGAUCGGCUAACUCCGUGCCAGCAGCCGCGGUAAUACGGAGGAUCCGAGCGUUAUCCGGAUUUAUUGGGUUUAAAGGGAGCGUAGGUGGAUUGUUAAGUCAGUUGUGAAAGUUUGCGGCUCAACCGUAAAAUUGAAGUUGAAACUGGCAGUCUUGAGUACAGUAGAGGUGGGCGGAAUUCGUGGUGUAGCGGUGAAAUGCUUAGAUAUCACGAAGAACUCCGAUUGCGAAGGCAGUUCACUGGACUGCAACUGACACUGAGGCUCGAAAGUGUGGGUAUCAAACAGGAUUAGAUACCCGGGUAGUC